This is a long non-coding RNA of Daphnia magna, 2932 nucleotides long. RefSeq lists it as uncharacterized. The transcript is spliced from 7 exons. NCBI's taxonomy places the organism in Eukaryota, Metazoa, Arthropoda, Branchiopoda, Diplostraca, Daphniidae. The record is from RefSeq and is a predicted model, not a curated record.
UUACGACCCCUAUUUUUAGAGAUGAAGUCCCCAAUCCCAAAGCGUGGCUUUUAGGAUAAUAUCGAUUACUAGUCCGGUUGGAAACAAACAGUUCUAAUUUGAAGGGACUGUAAAUUUGACAUCCUUUGGACGUAAAUGUGGGACUGAAUUUGAAAUGGAAAGCUAUGUCUAGGAAAUUCGAUAAAAGGAUAUAGUGUGGAUAUCCCACUAAUCCAUUUUUGGAACGAAAAAUAAACUGACACUAUAAUGACUCUAACGGGAUGUCCUAGGAAUGAAGAAUUCUUAUGAGUUUGGGAUAAGACUGUUUUCGUCUUCUAUAUAUCUAAGUGGGACCAAUCAAGGAGGUAUUGCUCAGCUCGUCCCAGGGAUCCCAACGAUCCAACGGAUGAAGACUGUUACGUCCAUGGGACGUCCAAUUCAGGACAAAGUGACGUUCAAGGGAUAUCCCCAUAUAUUGUGAGGAUCCGCCACCCAAAUCAAAUUCAAACGGUGUACGUGCUUCUUUUAUUUCCCUUAUCUCUCAGUCCAGACUUGCCGUGAUUGAAAUAAAUUUAUUAUCACGGUCAAACUCAAACUAAAAAAAUUAGCGAUCGAUUAACUCGUUUUGAGAUGAGUUUGAUCGCAAUCAAACUUAAAAAUUCUGAUCGAACUCAACUUAAAUUGGAACUCAACGCUUCUUAUUUCACGCCAUCUACUGAUAAUAUAUAGAACUAUAUUCCCAUAAUUCUACUCCUAAAUUCGGCUUAAUAAUUAUACUGUCAUAAGUUUUUCAAACUGUUCGUAGUACUUUCUGUGGUAUUUUGUCUUUUUACAUUUCAGUUUUACUCUUUGACAGGGAAUUGAAUUAGAUUAACGAUCACAAUUUCCGAGCUAUCUGUUCAGGGCGAUUUUUAAAAUGAGAAUAGUGAUCCCAAUUCCAACGUGUCACAUGAAAAUGCCAGCAUGAAUGCAACCACUGUAAAGAAGCUAGUAAUUUCUGAAAUAUUUUUUUUUAUUUGUUGGGAAUGUCACUGGCAAACAUGCCAGUCUGUAUCGGUGUCUGUUUUCUGGCUACGUUCAAAAGAAAAAAAAGGAUGGCACUGACAAACUGCUUGUUGUUUCUCAUUGUUCUUGACAUAAUGCGAAAAGGCAUUUUUUGAAACAUGAUCCAACUCAAGAACUUGGCCACGUGAAACUUUGGGAUGAUGCUUCAAGCAUGUAACGUCUGAGAGUAAUUACACAGUUACUCUCUCGACUUCUUUGUCAGCAAAUAAAGGUAUAAUAAUUAUCCAAGAAAACCUUGACAGUUGGGUGGUGAAUUACCUCAUUGUAGACGUGUCGUCUAUAAACACUGUUGAAAAGCCGGGUUUCAAGCAACUGGUGUCUAGUCUCGCACCAAAUUUAGUUUUACGUGGACGCACAUUCUUCACCAAAAAAAUAGAGUUGGAAUUCACUGAACGAAGACAACAGUUGAUUGAUGUGUUAAGCAACUGUACAGACGCAGCAACGACGAUUGAGGCAUUGACGCAGAAGAUCAUAUAUCGGUGAGACUAUCCAUUGGUUUGUAGACGAAUCCUUAAAGCGAAGAAGUGCCUGUCUUCGCAUCCGCCGGAUAAAAGGUCAACAUACUUAUGAUGUCCUGACAACUAUAAUAGAAAACCUCCAUAAGGAGUACUCAGUUAUAGACAAAAUGCGUGGAGCCACAACCGAUAACGGUUCGAACUUCGUAAAGGCGUUCCAUGAGAGUAGUGAGGCAUCAAAUGUGCCAAAAUAUGAAGAUGACGAUUUCGAACAAAGUGAUGAAGAAGAAGAAUUGUUAUAUUUCGAAAUUGGAGACCUAAUCGACGGUCGAAUCAGGGAAGACCAUCUGUCAAGCAAUGUAAAUCCCACUCUGCCGCUACAUCGCAGAUGUGCCUGCCACAUUUUAAGGUUAAUUGCAAAGGCUGACAUAUUGAAGAUUCCUGAUCCAACCUUUCAAGAAUUAAGUCAAGUUUUGUUAAUUCUGACAUUAUAUCAUAAUGCACCACAUUAGACAACUGUUCAUCUUAAAAAACGAGAUAAGAUGGAAAUCUGAAUACUCCGCCAUACGGUGCAUUGUCUGGCUCUUGAAGAAGAAGAAUAGAUGCAUGAAGAAAUUUUUUCAUGAGCUUAGUUUAACUUUGUUUAUCCCUAACCAGGAACAAUACUUAAAGGAGUAUACCAAAGUAAUGUGAUAUUUUACCGAAGCAUUAGAUGAAUGGCAAGGGGAAAAGAAUAUUGGUUCGGGUUAUCUCCUUCCCACAAUUUCUCUUUAAAAAAAAAAUCAGCUGCAAGACGAUGCAUCAAUCACACACUGCCAGUCACUAAUAACUGGAAUUCUUGAUGCGAUCCAUUGUAGAUUUGAACAUAUGUUUGCUGACAACGAGCUUCAUUUGGCAACACUUACCGAUCCUUUCUUUAAAUUGUCCUGGUUGGAUAAUGAAGAUGAAAUUAGACGCGCCAAAAACUUACUAAAGGGAGAAUACGUUCGCUUUCAAUGAAUAUCCAAUGAGACCAAAUCAUGAGUUCAGUGACGGAACAUGUUCGUCAAUUUCAGAUCCUAGCCCGGAAAAGAAACCAAAAUGUACUAAGGAUUUCUUUGCAUCAAUUACAAAAAAAUACUAAGACCAAAGUUAUUGAUGAAGUGGAGACUUUUUAGAAGUUAUGUGGGAAUUUCGACGAUCUAAGGAAUUAUCCAACGAUUAUGAAGAUGUAUAAGCGAUAUAACGUGACUUUGUCAUCUUCGGCCGCAGUCGAGAGGCUGUUUAGUCAAGGGGGAUUAAUAUUUACCCCAAACGACUAUAGUUGACAGCAGUGUUUCGGAUUUUUUUUUUAAAUCAAAUCCAAAUCCAAUCAAAUCCAAAUCCUCCCGGAUUUUUAAAAGAUUUGGAUUUGCCUUAUUUUUCAAUGGCUUGGAUUUGGAUCGGAUUUGAUC